GGAUGUGUGGGUACUCAACCUGUGCCAUCUGUCACUCAUUGAUUGCAUGACUUUAUUCACAUAAUAUGGUUGGCUAGGUAUGUGUCCCCUUUAUCCCUUACUGCUCAAUUAGUGUCCCUCCCUGAAGCAGCACCCCGUAUCCAAGAGGGCUAUCUUCCCAAAUAGAGUAGGACUGAUUUUCUGUCAAUGGUAUAAAGGUGACUGCACUCCUGUGCUAGAAACUCCAAAAAGCUCUCAAAGAUUUAGGAAAUACCAUUAUAGGUAAAAUAAGAAGUUAAUGAGAAAGCCAUUAGGUAGAACCUGUUUGA
Ictidomys tridecemlineatus (thirteen-lined ground squirrel) is the source of this 308-nucleotide unclassified non-coding RNA. Its record names the gene 7SK. It matches the Rfam family "7SK RNA". Rfam says of the family: 7SK was discovered as an abundant small nuclear RNA in the mid-70s but a possible function has only recently been suggested. NCBI's taxonomy places the organism in Eukaryota, Metazoa, Chordata, Mammalia, Rodentia, Sciuridae. The record is from Ensembl.